CGAACGGGUGAGUAACGCGUGAGGAACCUGCCUCAAAGAGGGGGACAACAGUUGGAAACGACUGCUAAUACCGCAUAAGCCCACGGCUCGGCAUCGAGCAGAGGGAAAAGGAGCAAUCCGCUUUGAGAUGGCCUCGCGUCCGAUUAGCUGUUGGUGAGGUAACGGCCCACCAAGGCGACGAUCGGUAGCCGGACUGGGAGGUUGAACGGCCACAUUGGGACUGAGACACGGUCCAA
Molecule: ribosomal RNA, 236 nt
Filed under: uncultured bacterium
Lineage: Bacteria
Description: partial 16S ribosomal RNA
Rfam family: Bacterial small subunit ribosomal RNA
Source: RNAcentral